RNAcentral lists this ribosomal RNA (516 nucleotides) under uncultured microorganism. RNAcentral's name for it is "bacterial SSU rRNA". It matches the Rfam family "Bacterial small subunit ribosomal RNA", at positions 9 to 524 of the family's 1533-position model. The record is from RNAcentral.
GAGUUUGAUCGUGGCUCAGGAUGAACGCUGGCGGCGUGCUUAACACAUGCAAGUCGAACGAAGCGCCUUAUUGAUUUUCUUCGGAACUGAAGAUUUGGUGACUGAGUGGCGGACGGGUGAGUAACGCGUGGGUAACCUGCCCUGUACAGGGGGAUAACAAUCAGAAAUGACUGCUAAUACCGCAUAAGACCACAGCACCGCAUGGUGCAGGGGUAAAAACUCCGGUGGUACAGGAUGGACCCGCGUCUGAUUAGCUGGUUGGUGAGGUAACGGCUCACCAAGGCGACGAUCAGUAGCCGGCUUGAGAGAGUGAACGGCCACAUUGGGACUGAGACACGGCCCAAACUCCUACGGGAGGCAGCAGUGGGGAAUAUUGCACAAUGGGGGAAACCCUGAUGCAGCAACGCCGCGUGAGUGAAGAAGUAUUUCGGUAUGUAAAGCUCUAUCAGCAGGGAAGAAAGUGACGGUACCUGACUAAGAAGCCCCGGCUAACUACGUGCCAGCCGCCGCCGUAAG